UCGCCCUGUUGCGGAGAGUGUUCGCAGCAUUCGAGCGGCGACAGGUGGAGGAAGCCGGUGCGAGUCCGGCGCGGUCCCGCCACUGUCACCGGGGAGCGGACUCCAACGACGUCACUGCCCUGCGGGGCGGGAAGGCGGAGCGAGCGCUGAUCCGGGAGCCAGGAGACUCCGGUCGCCGCGACCUACGA
RNAcentral lists this non-coding RNA (188 nucleotides) under Saccharopolyspora erythraea. The record is from RNAcentral. RNAcentral also lists the same sequence under 1 other name. Lineage: Bacteria; Bacillati; Actinomycetota; Actinomycetes; Pseudonocardiales; Pseudonocardiaceae.